RNAcentral lists this ribosomal RNA (400 nucleotides) under uncultured bacterium. Its description in RNAcentral is "bacterial SSU rRNA". It matches the Rfam family "Bacterial small subunit ribosomal RNA", at positions 356 to 773 of the family's 1533-position model. The record is from RNAcentral.
GGGGAAUAUUGGACAAUGGGCGCAAGCCUGAUCCAGCCAUGCCGCGUGAGUGAUGAAGGCCCUAGGGUUGUAAAGCUCUUUCAAUGGGGAAGAUAAUGACGGUACCCACAGAAGAAGCCCCGGCUAACUUCGUGCCAGCAGCCGCGGUAAUACGAAGGGGGCUAGCGUUGUUCGGAAUUACUGGGCGUAAAGCGCACGUAGGCGGAUUUUUUAGUCAGGGGUGAAAUCCCGGGGCUCAACCCCGGAACAGCCUCUGAUACUGGAAGUCUAGAGUCCGAGAGAGGUGAGUGGAAUUCCGAGUGUAGAGGUGAAAUUCGUAGAUACUCGGAGGAACACCAGUGGCGAAGGCGGCUCACUGGCUCGGUACUGACGCUGAGGUGCGAAAGCGUGGGGAGCAAAC